This is a long non-coding RNA of Paramisgurnus dabryanus, 936 nucleotides long. RefSeq lists it as uncharacterized. Lineage: Eukaryota; Metazoa; Chordata; Actinopteri; Cypriniformes; Cobitidae. The record is from RefSeq and is a predicted model, not a curated record.
UGAUAAUCUGUUUACCUAAAAACAGCCCACCACAAUCCAUGUUUACCAGCUGUGAAAGUGCAGGCCAAAAAUCUUCCUUCACCUGUGGGCCUCUACCCACAUGUAGAUAAGCACUUCAGGAGAAACCUGCCUGUGAUCUGCUAAGAUGCAAAGAUUCAACUCUGGCCCAUUGUCAUCCCAACACCUCAUCUGCCAUCAGUUUCGUUUAGUGUCGGUCUAUUGCAAAAGUUCUUAUAAACUUUAAAUGAGACUUUGUGUUAAGCAGGGGUUUCCAAACUUUUCAUUCCACAACAUAUUAAGCCCAGGAUACACAGCAGGAUUUUUGCAAUCCAAUAAAACCUUAUCACACUGUGUGACAAGGAUUGUUUAAACUUCAGCAGUAGACUGUCGAUGAAGACACCUAUUGCAUCUGAGGCUGCGACAUCCGUCAUCAGCAUGCGCUAGUGGUAAACAAAUACAGGUAUGCAGGUCGUAGAAACAAACACAUUGUUGAUGUGCGAUGAUCAUCCUGAACUUCUUACACUGUCAUAAAACUAUCGUAGGUGUCUUUGGUCCAAGGACUGGGAAAACAGACGUCUUUAAACCUCUCACACUGUAUGAGAUAGGACCACCAAUUAAGAGCCACGAUCACAGAAAUCUCCACGAUUGUUUCACGAUUGGUAAUCUUUCAUCUGGGACAGCCAAAAAUCGUGCCGUGUAUUAUGGGCUUUAGACAGGUGUAAUCUUAAAGUAUAUCAAAACCAUUGCUAAUAAUUAAUUGGACAAACCAUCACUACAAUGCAACACUCACUAUCUUACGGUGCGACCCACAAGUGGGUCUUCACCCACAGUUUAAAAACCCUGAGUAUGAGAAAGAGUAUGUUGUAUUGUAAUUAAAGUCACAUCUAAGUGUUAUGGAACAGUUUGUCAUUAUAUUCACAGUAUUACAUGGUUCUU